UGGGGAAUAUUGCACAAUGGGCGCAAGCCUGAUGCAGCGACGCCGCGUGGGGGAUGACGGCCUUCGGGUUGUAAACCUCUUUCAGCUAUGACGAAGCGCAAGUGACGGUAGUAGCAGAAGAAGGACCGGCCAACUACGUGCCAGCAGCCGCGGUAAUACGUAGGGUCCGAGCGUUGUCCGGAAUUACUGGGCGUAAAGAGCUCGUAGGUGGUUUGUCGCGUUGUUCGUGAAAUCUCACAACUCAAUUGU
This 249-nucleotide ribosomal RNA is filed under the name uncultured Mycobacterium sp. Its description in RNAcentral is "partial 16S ribosomal RNA". It matches the Rfam family "Bacterial small subunit ribosomal RNA", at positions 355 to 616 of the family's 1533-position model. Lineage: Bacteria; Bacillati; Actinomycetota; Actinomycetes; Mycobacteriales; Mycobacteriaceae. The record is from RNAcentral.